CCUACGGGUGGCAGCAGUGAGGAAUAUUGGUCAAUGGCCGUAAGGCUGAACCAGCCAAGUAGCGUGAGGGAAGACUGCCCUACGGGUUGUAAACUGCUUUUAUACGGGAAUAACGCGCCUUACGUGUAGGGCUUUGCAUGUACCGUAUGAAUAAGGACCGGCUACUUCCGUGCCAGCAGCCGCGGUAAUACGGAAGGUCCGGGCGUUAUCCGGAUUUAUUGGGUUUAAAGGGAGCGUAGGCCGCAUGUCAAGCGUGCUGUGAAAUGUACGGGCUCAACCCGGGCCUUGCAGCGCGAACUGGCGUGCUUGAGUCCGCGGAAAGCAGGCGGAAUUCGUCGUGUAGCGGUGAAAUGCUUAGAUAUGACGAAGAACCCCGAUUGCGAAGGCAGCUUGCUGCAGCGGAACUGACGCUGAUGCUCGAAAGCGCGGGUAUCGAACAGGAUUAGAUACCCCUGUAGUC
This 460-nucleotide ribosomal RNA is filed under the name uncultured bacterium. RNAcentral's name for it is "partial 16S ribosomal RNA". It matches the Rfam family "Bacterial small subunit ribosomal RNA", at positions 338 to 795 of the family's 1533-position model. The record is from RNAcentral.